This 26-nucleotide ribosomal RNA is filed under the name Geotrichum carabidarum. RNAcentral's name for it is "Dipodascus carabidarus partial 26S ribosomal RNA". RNAcentral also lists the same sequence under 1 other name. Lineage: Eukaryota; Fungi; Ascomycota; Dipodascomycetes; Dipodascales; Dipodascaceae. The record is from RNAcentral.
CAACCUCAGAUCAGGUAGGACUACCC